GCCCCAAUAGCUCAGCCGGGAGAGCAACCGCCUUGUAAGCGGUAGGUCGUGGGUUCGAUUCCUACUUGGGGCACCA
This 76-nucleotide transfer RNA is filed under the name Klebsiella phage vB_KpnS_FZ41. Its description in RNAcentral is "tRNA-Thr". It matches the Rfam family "tRNA". From Rfam's summary of the family: Transfer RNA (tRNA) molecules are approximately 80 nucleotides in length. Lineage: Duplodnaviria; Heunggongvirae; Uroviricota; Caudoviricetes; Demerecviridae. RNAcentral also lists the same sequence under 1 other name. The record is from RNAcentral.